RNAcentral lists this ribosomal RNA (2926 nucleotides) under Enterobacter sp. R4-368. RNAcentral's name for it is "bacterial LSU rRNA". It matches the Rfam family "Bacterial large subunit ribosomal RNA". The record is from RNAcentral. Lineage: Bacteria; Pseudomonadati; Pseudomonadota; Gammaproteobacteria; Enterobacterales; Enterobacteriaceae.
GGGUUGUGAGGUUAAGCGACUAAGCGUACACGGUGGAUGCCCUGGCAGUCAGAGGCGAUGAAGGACGUGCUAAUCUGCGAAAAGCGCCGGUAAGGUGAUAUGAACCGUUAUAACCGGCGAUGUCCGAAUGGGGAAACCCAGUGUGACUCGUCACACUAUCAUUAACUGAAUCCAUAGGUUAAUGAGGCGAACCGGGGGAACUGAAACAUCUAAGUACCCCGAGGAAAAGAAAUCAACCGAGAUUCCCCCAGUAGCGGCGAGCGAACGGGGAGCAGCCCAGAGCCUGAAUCAGCUUGUGUGUUAGUGGAAGCGUCUGGAAAGUCGCGCGAUACAGGGUGACAGCCCCGUACACAAAAGCACACAGGCUGUGAGCUCGAUGAGUAGGGCGGGACACGUGGUAUCCUGUCUGAAUAUGGGGGGACCAUCCUCCAAGGCUAAAUACUCCUGACUGACCGAUAGUGAACCAGUACCGUGAGGGAAAGGCGAAAAGAACCCCGGCGAGGGGAGUGAAAAAGAACCUGAAACCGUGUACGUACAAGCAGUGGGAGCACCUUCGGGUGUGACUGCGUACCUUUUGUAUAAUGGGUCAGCGACUUAUAUUCUGUAGCAAGGUUAACCGAAUAGGGGAGCCGAAGGGAAACCGAGUCUUAACUGGGCGUUAAGUUGCAGGGUAUAGACCCGAAACCCGGUGAUCUAGCCAUGGGCAGGUUGAAGGUUGGGUAACACUAACUGGAGGACCGAACCGACUAAUGUUGAAAAAUUAGCGGAUGACUUGUGGCUGGGGGUGAAAGGCCAAUCAAACCGGGAGAUAGCUGGUUCUCCCCGAAAGCUAUUUAGGUAGCGCCUCGUGAAUUCAUCUCCGGGGGUAGAGCACUGUUUCGGCUAGGGGGCCAUCCCGGCUUACCAACCCGAUGCAAACUACGAAUACCGGAGAAUGUUAUCACGGGAGACACACGGCGGGUGCUAACGUCCGUCGUGAAGAGGGAAACAACCCAGACCGCCAGCUAAGGUCCCAAAGUCAUGGUUAAGUGGGAAACGAUGUGGGAAGGCCCAGACAGCCAGGAUGUUGGCUUAGAAGCAGCCAUCAUUUAAAGAAAGCGUAAUAGCUCACUGGUCGAGUCGGCCUGCGCGGAAGAUGUAACGGGGCUAAACCAUGCACCGAAGCUGCGGCAGCGACACUAUGUGUUGUUGGGUAGGGGAGCGUUCUGUAAGCCUGCGAAGGUGUGCUGUGAGGCAUGCUGGAGGUAUCAGAAGUGCGAAUGCUGACAUAAGUAACGAUAAAGCGGGUGAAAAGCCCGCUCGCCGGAAGACCAAGGGUUCCUGUCCAACGUUAAUCGGGGCAGGGUGAGUCGACCCCUAAGGCGAGGCCGAAAGGCGUAGUCGAUGGGAAACAGGUUAAUAUUCCUGUACUUGGUGUUACUGCGAAGGGGGGACGGAGAAGGCUAUGUUAGCCGGGCGACGGUUGUCCCGGUUUAAGCGUGAAGGUGUGUGCUCCAGGCAAAUCCGGAGCACUUUAACACUGAGGCGUGAUGACGAGGCACUACGGUGCUGAAGUAACAAAUGCCCUGCUUCCAGGAAAAGCCUCUAAGCUCCAGGUAACACGAAAUCGUACCCCAAACCGACACAGGUGGUCAGGUAGAGAAUACCAAGGCGCUUGAGAGAACUCGGGUGAAGGAACUAGGCAAAAUGGUGCCGUAACUUCGGGAGAAGGCACGCUGAUAUGUAGGUGAAGUCCCUUGCGGAUGGAGCUGAAAUCAGUCGAAGAUACCAGCUGGCUGCAACUGUUUAUUAAAAACACAGCACUGUGCAAACACGAAAGUGGACGUAUACGGUGUGACGCCUGCCCGGUGCCGGAAGGUUAAUUGAUGGGGUCAUCCGUAAGGAGAAGCUCUUGAUCGAAGCCCCGGUAAACGGCGGCCGUAACUAUAACGGUCCUAAGGUAGCGAAAUUCCUUGUCGGGUAAGUUCCGACCUGCACGAAUGGCGUAAUGAUGGCCAGGCUGUCUCCACCCGAGACUCAGUGAAAUUGAACUCGCUGUGAAGAUGCAGUGUACCCGCGGCAAGACGGAAAGACCCCGUGAACCUUUACUAUAGCUUGACACUGAACACUGGUCCUUGAUGUGUAGGAUAGGUGGGAGGCUUUGAAGCGUGGACGCCAGUCUGCGUGGAGCCGCCCUUGAAAUACCACCCUUUAAUGGCUGGUGUUCUAACGUGGACCCGUAAUCCGGGUUGCGGACAGUGUCUGGUGGGUAGUUUGACUGGGGCGGUCUCCUCCUAAAGCGUAACGGAGGAGCACGAAGGUCAGCUAAUCCUGGUCGGACAUCAGGAGGUUAGUGCAAUGGCAUAAGCUGGCUUGACUGCGAGCGUGACGGCGCGAGCAGGUGCGAAAGCAGGUCAUAGUGAUCCGGUGGUUCUGAAUGGAAGGGCCAUCGCUCAACGGAUAAAAGGUACUCCGGGGAUAACAGGCUGAUACCGCCCAAGAGUUCAUAUCGACGGCGGUGUUUGGCACCUCGAUGUCGGCUCAUCACAUCCUGGGGCUGAAGUAGGUCCCAAGGGUAUGGCUGUUCGCCAUUUAAAGUGGUACGCGAGCUGGGUUUAGAACGUCGUGAGACAGUUCGGUCCCUAUCUGCCGUGGGCGCUGGAGAAUUGAGGGGGGCUGCUCCUAGUACGAGAGGACCGGAGUGGACGCAUCACUGGUGUUCGGGUUGUCAUGCCAAUGGCACUGCCCGGUAGCUAAAUGCGGAAGAGAUAAGUGCUGAAAGCAUCUAAGCACGAAACUUGCCCCGAGAUGAGUUCUCCCUGAGACUUUAAGUCUCCUGAAGGAACGUUGAAGACGACGACGUUGAUAGGCCGGGUGUGUAAGCGCAGCGAUGCGUUGAGCUAACCGGUACUAAUGAACCGUGAGGCUUAACCUUACAACGCCGAAG